RNAcentral lists this ribosomal RNA (846 nucleotides) under uncultured eukaryote. Its description in RNAcentral is "SSU rRNA". It matches the Rfam family "Eukaryotic small subunit ribosomal RNA", at positions 582 to 1456 of the family's 1831-position model. The record is from RNAcentral.
AUUCCAGCUCCAAUAGCGUAUAUUUAAGUUGUUGCAGUUAAAAAGCUCGUAGUUGGAUUUCGGAUGUGUUGACGCGGUCUGCCUCUGGUAUGUACUGCGUUCGAUGCAUCUUUCUGCUGGGGACGAGCUCCUGGGCUUAAUUGUCUGGGACUCGGAAUCAGCGAAGUGACCUUGAGCAAACAAGAGUGUUCAAAGCAAGCCUACGCUCUGAAUUUUUUAGCAUGGAAUCACACGAUAGGACUCUGGCCUAUCUUGUUGGUCUGUAGGACCGGAGUAAUGAUUAAGAGGGACAGUCGGGGGCAUUCGUAUUUCAUUGUCAGAGGUGAAAUUCUUGGAUUUAUGAAAGACGAACUUCUGCGAAAGCAUUUGCCAAGGAUGUUUUCAUUGAUCAAGAACGAAAGUUGGGGGCUCGAAGACGAUUAGAUACCGUCGUAGUCUCAACCAUAAACGAUGCCGACUAGGGAUUGGCAGGUGUUCCAUUGAUGACCCUGCCAGCACCUUAUGAGAAAUCAAAGUUUUUGGGUUCCGGGGGGAGUAUGGUCGCAAGGCUGAAACUUAAAGGAAUUGACGGAAGGGCACCACCAGGCGUGGAGCCUGCGGCUUAAUUUGACUCAACACGGGGAAACUUACCAGGUCCAGACACGGGGAGGAUUGACAGAUUGAGAGCUCUUUCUUGAUUCUGUGGGUGGUGGUGCAUGGCCGUUCUUAGUUGGUGGGUUGCCUUGUCAGGUUGAUUCCGGUAACGAACGAGACCUCAGCCUGCUAAAUAGUAACACAUACCUUGGUAUGUGCUUUACUUCUUAGAGGGACUAUUGGCGUUUAGUCAAUGGAAGUGUGAGGCAAUAA